Molecule: ribosomal RNA, 416 nt
Filed under: uncultured bacterium
Lineage: Bacteria
Description: bacterial SSU rRNA
Rfam family: Bacterial small subunit ribosomal RNA
Source: RNAcentral
AGGGAAUUUUGCGCAAUGGACGGAAGUCUGACGCAGCAACGCCGCGUGAAGGAUGAAGGCCUUCGGGUUGUAAACUUCUGUUGGAUGGGAAAAAAAGCCUUUUAAGAGGAAUUGAUGGUACCAUUCGAGUAAGCACCGGCUAACUACGUGCCAGCAGCCGCGGUAAUACGUAGGGUGCGAGCGUUGUUCGGAAUCACUGGGCGUAAAGGGAGCGUAGGCGGAACUGUAAGUUAGAAGUUUAAUACAUGGGCUCAACCCGUGGUUUGCUUUUAAUACUGCGGUUCUUGAGUAUGGGAGAGGGCGAUGGAAUUCCAGGUGUAGCGGUGGAAUGCGUAGAUAUCUGGAAGAACACCAGUAGCGAAGGCGGUCGCCUGGCCCAAUACUGACGCUGAGGCGCGAAAGCUGGGGGAGCAAAC